This 497-nucleotide ribosomal RNA is filed under the name uncultured bacterium. RNAcentral describes it as "partial 16S ribosomal RNA". It matches the Rfam family "Bacterial small subunit ribosomal RNA", at positions 29 to 507 of the family's 1533-position model. The record is from RNAcentral.
AUUGAACGCUGGCGGCAUGCUUUACACAUGCAAGUCGAACGGCCGCGCGGGCUUCGGCCUGGCGGCGCGUGGCGAACGGGUGAGUAAUUCAUCGGAACAUGACCAGUCUAGGGGGAUAGGACGGCGAAGGCAGGAUUAAUCCAGCACACGACAUGAGAGUGAAACGGGGGGACCAAAAGUGCUCGAGGGAUUUGCGGGCCCGUUUAGAGGUUUCCUCGCCGGAUUAGCUAGUUGGUAAGGUAACGGCUUACCAAGGCUACGAUGCGUAGCCGACCUGAGAGGAUGAUCAGCCACACUGGGACUGAGACACGGCCCAGACUCCUACGGGAGGCAGCAGUGGGGAAUUUUGGGCAAUGGGGGCAAGCCUGACGCAGCCACGCCGCGUGCGGGAAGAAGGCCUUCGGGUCGUAAACCGCUUUUGUUCGGGAAGAAAACAUCUGGGCGAAUACCCCGGGGGGAUGACGGUACCGGAAGAAUAAGCACCGGCUAACUACGUG